GGGAGACAGGGCAGACUGGCAGACAGGGCAGACAAGGAAGACAGGGGAGACAGGGCAGGCUGGCAGACAGGGGAGACAAGGGAGACAAGGGAGGCUGGCAGACAAGGAAGACAGGGGAGACAGGGCAGGCUGGCAGACAGGGGAGACAGGGCAGGCUGGCAGACAGGGGAGACAAGGCAGACAGGGGAGACAGGGCAGGCUGGCAGACAGGGGAGACAAGGCAGACAGGGGAGACAAGGCAGACAGGGGAGACAAGGCGAGACAAGGCAGACAGGGGAGACAGGGCAGACAGGGGAGACAGGGCAGGCUGGCAGACAGGACAGACAGGGGAGACAGGGCAGGCUGGCAGACAGGGUAGACAGGACAGACAGGACAGACAGGGGAGACAGGACAGACAGGGCAGACAGGGGAGACAGGACAGACAGGACAGACAGGGGAGACAGGGGAGACAGGACAGACAGGGGAGACAGGACAGACAGGGCAGACAGGGUAGACAGGGGAGACAGGACAGACAGGGGAGACAGGGGAGACAGGACAGACAGGGGAGACAG
Molecule: long non-coding RNA, 551 nt
Organism: Oncorhynchus tshawytscha (Chinook salmon)
Lineage: Eukaryota; Metazoa; Chordata; Actinopteri; Salmoniformes; Salmonidae
Source: Ensembl